GACAGAGGUGCCGAGCGUUAGGCGGAAUCACUGGGCUUAAAGCGUGUGUAGGCGGCCCGUUAAGUGCCUCGUGAAAUCCCCCGGCUCAACCGGGGAGGGUCGUUGGGGACGGCGGGGCUUGAGGGCGGGAGAGGUCGGUGGAAUUCCCGGUGUAGUGGUGAAAUGCGUAGAGAUCGGGAGGAACACCCGUGGCGAAGGCGGCUCACUGGGCUGACCUUGACGCUGAGGCGCGAAGGCGUGGGGAGCGAACGGG
Molecule: ribosomal RNA, 253 nt
Filed under: uncultured bacterium
Lineage: Bacteria
Description: partial 16S ribosomal RNA
Rfam family: Bacterial small subunit ribosomal RNA
Source: RNAcentral